UACGUAGGGUGCGAGCGUUGUCCGGAAUUAUUGGGCGUAAAGAGCUUGUAGGCGGUUUGUCGCGUCUGCCGUGAAAAUCCGGGGCUCAACCCCGGACUUGCGGUGGGUACGGGCAGACUAGAGUGUGGUAGGGGAGACUGGAAUUCCUGGUGUAGCGGUGAAAUGCGCAGAUAUCAGGAGGAACACCGAUGGCGAAGGCAGGUCUCUGGGCCACUACUGACGCUGAGGAGCGAAAGUGUGGGGAGCGAACAGG
Molecule: ribosomal RNA, 253 nt
Filed under: uncultured bacterium
Lineage: Bacteria
Description: partial 16S ribosomal RNA
Rfam family: Bacterial small subunit ribosomal RNA
Source: RNAcentral